AAGAGACGGGGCGUUUGGACUUACUCUGAGCUAUCUUGGCCAGGUGGAGCCUGUUGACCCAGACGAUCUUACUGAGAGAACUAGUAGUGUUGAAGACCACCUUGAUGCUGACUGGAUGACCAGACCUGAAGGAAAAGGUAUAGACAGACGCAGACGGGACUUGUUGGCGUUCUGGAUCUCCUCCUCCUUCAGACGGAUGAGCCUCUGCAGAGCCAGACACCAGUCCUGAGACACGGUGGUGUUCAGGUUCUACAGGAGGGACAGAAGGACAUGAGGUUGGCGGAGGUCUUAAUCAUCAGCUGGGCAAUAACAACCCUCCAGUGGGACACACCACUUCACUGUGUAUCUGGGUCCAACAGGGAUUGGACUGCUGAUGUCAGGAGGACCCCUGCUGGACAUCAUGAGGCAGGAUUUUUGUCUCUGCUGCAGCUCCGCCUCCUGAUCUGCCACACGUUUCUGCUCAUUGAGCUUCUCAGCCAGAGUCUCCAGCUCAGAGAGAGCCAGCUGCAGGGGCAAACGGUCAGCAUGGGAAUCUGGAGUGUUCUUCAGCAUGUCCUGAGAGUCUGAUUGUUACGUGUGGGCAUGGCAGGAAGCAGGCAGGAACCAAGUGGAGCACAAGGGAGAGUCCCUUCAGGUGCAGCAGGUUUACUAAGAGCAACAAGAACAUCUCUCAGAGGUAAAGCCUAGUCUUCAGGCACACUCUCCUCCAAAAACUUGGACUUUAUCAAAAAUCUAAAACCAAACUCAUCAAGCAUGAGUUCACACGCUACCAGUGCCCUCUUCACCAACAGAUCCCACCAAGACAGAGUGAGGGAGAGAGGUGUAUACAUACCCAGUGAACCAGGUGACACCAGUGAGACUAACGACAGAGACACAGUGUAUCUACAGAAACGGUGUGGGCGAAAUACAACCAAGUGGAAAUUCUGUAAAAUAUCCAAGUGAAAUGGAAACAGUUUACACCAUGCAUUUUCAUUGGUUCAUUGGUUCCUGUUUCAUUAUUCAAACAAAUAACAGAA
Long non-coding RNA from Cynoglossus semilaevis (tongue sole), 1016 nucleotides. RefSeq lists it as uncharacterized. Lineage: Eukaryota; Metazoa; Chordata; Actinopteri; Pleuronectiformes; Cynoglossidae. The record is from RefSeq and is a predicted model, not a curated record. The transcript has 6 exons.